GAAAGUUGGAGGAUCGAAGAUGAUCAGAUACCGUCCUAGUCUCAACCAUAAACGAUACCGACUAGGGCUCGACGGAUGUUGCUUUUAUGACUCCGUCGGCACAUUAUGAUAAAUUAAAGUUUUUGGGU
Molecule: ribosomal RNA, 128 nt
Filed under: Solanum tuberosum (potato)
Lineage: Eukaryota; Viridiplantae; Streptophyta; Magnoliopsida; Solanales; Solanaceae
Description: rRNA SSU_rRNA_eukarya
Rfam family: Eukaryotic small subunit ribosomal RNA
Source: RNAcentral